CUCUUAUCCUUGCCUUCGAUUUCCCCUUUCCCUCUUCCUCCCUCCAUUCCUCUCGAAUCCCCUACCCUUCCUCAUGAACUCGAUUUUUCUCCCUCCUUUCCUCCUGAUCUUCGAACGGUCCUACUGAGCCCUAAAUCCAUCCCCUUCAUGCGAUAGUCCUCUUCCAUCUGAGCCCUAAACGACGGGUUUGUGCUUUUGCUUAGAUAAUGCCAUGACUGAAAUUUGAGGGUGUUUGUUGAAGUCUAAAUGAGAGAGAAAGAACUUCAGCAUGCAAGGGAAGAGUUCCAUAAAAGAGAGGAGUACAUCCAAAAGAGAGUGUUGUUUGCUACGAUCAAGAUCAAUGGAAGAUUAAGUUUGUGUUAGCGACUUUUUGUAUGUUGUUAAGUUUGUUAGUGUUUCGGUGUAGCGAGACUGGUGACUUGUAAACAUUCUGCAUUAAUGUGCAGUCUUGUCAAAGUUGCAAUAUGCAGUUUAUGUUUCCAAUUGUACCAGACUUAUGAUCCCUUCAAUAUAAGGUAUUUUCCAAUAGAUUUUCUGUUGUAUUAGUAAGUUGGAAUA
Long non-coding RNA from Juglans microcarpa x Juglans regia, 558 nucleotides. RefSeq lists it as uncharacterized. NCBI's taxonomy places the organism in Eukaryota, Viridiplantae, Streptophyta, Magnoliopsida, Fagales, Juglandaceae. The transcript has 2 exons. The record is from RefSeq and is a predicted model, not a curated record.